This 501-nucleotide unclassified non-coding RNA is filed under the name Hevea brasiliensis (rubber tree). The record is from RNAcentral. Lineage: Eukaryota; Viridiplantae; Streptophyta; Magnoliopsida; Malpighiales; Euphorbiaceae.
AGCUUCAAACAAAUCAAUCCCAUUUUUCACAAGCAUGGCCCUUGAAGGAGCUUUUGUUACUCUGUCUGGCCACUUAGGAAUUGUCCCUACAGCAUAUUCCCCAUUGACAGAAGAUGCCCUACUCACACAUUUCUUUAAUUUUAAGUACCAGGCAUAGCUUGGGUCAUCUGUUUCUUCACAUAGUUCAAGCCCAAAUUCAUUUUGGUUGGGCAGGCAUGAAUCUCCAGCAGGCUUUUUCCAGAUGACAGUGUUUCCAUCCACAGCAAUCAGCUCAUAACACAAUGCUCUUGCCACACCUUGGAGAUCUGCCCAUUCCUUAUCUUGUUUAGCCCACUGAACAGGAGGACCAGAGAUGACUAAAUAUCCUCCAGGGCGAAGUAAUCGAUCCACUUCAAUGAAAUAAGUUGCAUUAUAGGCUGUAAAAGGGAUCAAACAUCGAGAGCAAUGCACCAAGUCAAAUGAGAAAGCGGGGAAUGGGAGUCUGCGAGUGCCAAGCAUGGC